ACUACCUGGAAGAAGCUGAGCUAGCUCUUUAGAGCUAACGUUGCUAAACAGUGUGGACCUUAUCAAAGAUAUUUAGAGGAUUACACAGCAGAGAUUCCAAGGACUACCAAGUACAGAUGGAAAGUAAAAGAUAGGGCAGAACUACGGGACAACUCACGAGAUCACAUUAGUCAGCCCACUGCUUCCCAUAGAGAAGUUACAGAUGAUGUCAACAGUAGGAGCUCUUCCACACCUAGGCUUUUGGAUUCUGCCCUUCAACAGAAUAUCAGUCAUGAUGACAUCAACACAGAUGGUCACAUGACUUACACUUCGACCAGUGGAGAGGAAGAACUCAAUUCCAGCAGUGAAGAUGAACUUGAUAGUGAGAGCUCUUCCACGGACAGCCUGUUGGAUAUGGACAUUCAAGAGAAUGAUAAUAUAGAUAACCACACUGACACAGAAGACCACUGGAGUAACACUUCCAGCAGUGAAAAUGAAGACGAUGAGCUCGACACUGAGAAACCAACCACAAGCCAGUUGGAUGUGGACGUCUCAGAGGUGAAUGCACCAUUCUAUGGGUUAGUUUAUAUACGCUUCCUUUAAUCUUUUAAUUAAUUACUUCAAGUUAUCUUUUUCCCUUGUCAACUUGUAAAAUGAUGAAGCUCUGCCACAUCCUGAAGAGGACUUGAUUGGUGCUGCCAUUGAUGAAGCUGAAAACCAUGCUGAUGACGAAAACGUGAUGGAGGGGAGUGCAAGAGGAAAUGAACCUGAAUUUCCAGUGGGCAUUGAAGACCACACAGAUGGUGACAAGCCCCUAUAUCCUGGUGCACCUGUUUCAAAGGGAGAAAGUUUAUUGAUGCUGAUGUCCUAUGUGCUGCAUAACAACUUAACAGGCAAAGCACUUACUCAUUUACUGAAACUGUUCAAUCUAAUGUUUCCAGGUUUGAUUCCACCCUCACAUUCAAUUCAGUCUUUUGUUGAAGAACUUUACUUUAGUAAAAGGAAAACAGAAAAUUGUGAAAUGCUAAAUGAAAAUGUCAGAGGUUUUGGUCACCCCCCGGUGCAAACAAGUAUAAAAAUGUCAUUUAGGCUUGCCAUUGUGGAAAUCUAAGCAACUGCUUUUGGUCUUAGAACCGUUUUUUGGUACAUGGACUUGUGUAUCACAGUCAAAACUAUGACAGACUAAAGAAGAGACACAAUAGUGCUGCAUGCUUGAAAGAUGGUACAUUUUGUUUAAUUACUGACUUGGUUAUUUUUAAACAAACAUGUUCACAUCAAAUCCCUGCUUUUUGUUCAUGUGGCAAACUAUGUUGUGUUUUAGUUGAGGUACUUAUUAAAUCAGUUAUACUUAUUAAAUAUGUAAAGAUUCACACAUCAGUGUACAAAGUACUUUCGUACAUGUUGUGAAAAAAGCUGAAACUGUUAAUGCUGUCUGGCCUGACAUGAUCAAAACAAAAUGUGUUCUUGUUGAAACAGCUGAUGCUAUGUACAUAACACCAUUGCCAAACCCUUAUGAAAGGGACU
This is a long non-coding RNA of Archocentrus centrarchus (flier cichlid), 1503 nucleotides long. RefSeq lists it as uncharacterized. The transcript is spliced from 5 exons. The record is from RefSeq and is a predicted model, not a curated record. Lineage: Eukaryota; Metazoa; Chordata; Actinopteri; Cichliformes; Cichlidae.